This 393-nucleotide ribosomal RNA is filed under the name uncultured bacterium. RNAcentral's name for it is "partial 16S ribosomal RNA". It matches the Rfam family "Bacterial small subunit ribosomal RNA", at positions 523 to 918 of the family's 1533-position model. The record is from RNAcentral.
AUACGGAGGAUCCGAGCGUUAUCCGGAUUUAUUGGGUUUAAAGGGAGCGUAGGCGGAUUAUUAAGUCAGUUGUGAAAGUUUGCGGCUCAACCGUAAAAUUGCAGUUGAUACUGGUAGUCUUGAGUGCAGCAGAGGUAGGCGGAAUUCGUGGUGUAGCGGUGAAAUGCUUAGAUAUCACGAAGAACUCCGAUUGCGAAGGCAGCUUACUGGACUGUAACUGACGCUGAUGCUCGAAAGUGUGGGUAUCAAACAGGAUUAGAUACCCUGGUAGUCCACACGGUAAACGAUGAAUACUCGCUGUUUGCGAUAUACUGCAAGCGGCCAAGCGAAAGCGUUAAGUAUUCCACCUGGGGAGUACGCCGGCAACGGUGAAACUCAAAUGAAUUGACGGGG